RNAcentral lists this long non-coding RNA (257 nucleotides) under Linum usitatissimum (flax). RNAcentral describes it as "long non-coding RNA (LUSI_LNC000604)". Lineage: Eukaryota; Viridiplantae; Streptophyta; Magnoliopsida; Malpighiales; Linaceae. The record is from RNAcentral.
GUCAAUCUCGCCCGCCGCUGCCGGAUUACAGAACGGCGAAUUUGCCGCCCUUGCCGACGACGGUGAAAUCUGAAGUCGGCGGCGUCGGCGACGGAGGAGGAGGAGGAGGGGGGAACAAUUCGAAUCUGGUGAGGCACAGUAGCUCACCUGCUGGACUAUUCUCCAACAUCAACAUUGAAUUCGAAAACGGUAACUAGAUAUUUUAGUACUCCCUCCCAAGAUCUCAGCUUUGUUUCCAUUUCCUGGAAAGGAAAGGG